GGUGGUGUAACUCAGUAGUAGGGUGCUUGCCUAGCAUACUUAAAGGUCAUGAGUUCAAUCCCCAACACCACCA
This is a non-coding RNA of Ictidomys tridecemlineatus (thirteen-lined ground squirrel), 73 nucleotides long. NCBI's taxonomy places the organism in Eukaryota, Metazoa, Chordata, Mammalia, Rodentia, Sciuridae. The record is from Rfam.